This 460-nucleotide ribosomal RNA is filed under the name uncultured bacterium. Its description in RNAcentral is "partial 16S ribosomal RNA". It matches the Rfam family "Bacterial small subunit ribosomal RNA", at positions 338 to 795 of the family's 1533-position model. The record is from RNAcentral.
CCUACGGGUGGCAGCAGUGAGGAAUAUUGGUCAAUGGGCGCGAGCCUGAACCAGCCAAGUAGCGUGAAGGAUGACUGCCCUACGGGUUGUAAACUUCUUUUAUAAAGGAAUAAAGUGAGGCACGUGUGCCUUUUUGUAUGUACUUUAUGUAUAAGGAUCGGCUAACUCCGUGCCAGCAGCCGCGGUAAUCCGGAGGAUCCGAGCGUUAUCCGGAUUUAUUGGGUUUAAAGGGAGCGUUGUUGGGUUGUUAAGUCAGUUGGGAAAGUUUGCGGCUUAACCGUAAAAUUGCAAUUGAUACUGGCAGCCUUGAGUAAAGUAGAGGUAGGCGGAAUUCGUGGUGUAGCGGUGAAAUGCUUAGAUAUCGCGAAGAACACCGAUGGCGAAGGCAGCUUACUAAGCUGCCACUGACAUUGAUGCUCGAAAGUGUGGGUAUCAAACAGGAUGAGAUACCCGGGUAGUC